CCUGCGUUAUAUUUGGUAAUCCAAAUAAAAACGAUAUCACGCAUAUCAAGAGAACCAACAUUUCGUGGCAUAACAGAAUACGCUUCAUCCGAUUAGGGAACCCAUCCUGUAUCGAUGAUACUACGACCUCCACAACUGCAAACUAUAAUUAUGGGCUGACUAUUGAGCGAGAGGCACACAAGCAUGAAAAAGAAUAGUACAGCCCAUAGUUGAGAUGCUGGCAUUUUUGCCAAAGCUUGAGGAUACACUACGAA
This 254-nucleotide unclassified non-coding RNA is filed under the name Athalia rosae (coleseed sawfly). RNAcentral describes it as "misc RNA ENSAEAG00005007245.1". Lineage: Eukaryota; Metazoa; Arthropoda; Insecta; Hymenoptera; Athaliidae. The record is from RNAcentral.